RNAcentral lists this ribosomal RNA (2905 nucleotides) under Escherichia albertii. Its description in RNAcentral is "23S ribosomal RNA". It matches the Rfam family "Bacterial large subunit ribosomal RNA". The record is from RNAcentral. Lineage: Bacteria; Pseudomonadati; Pseudomonadota; Gammaproteobacteria; Enterobacterales; Enterobacteriaceae.
GGUUAAGCGACUAAGCGUACACGGUGGAUGCCCUGGCAGUCAGAGGCGAUGAAGGACGUGCUAAUCUGCGAUAAGCGUCGGUAAGGUGAUAUGAACCGUUAUAACCGGCGAUGUCCGAAUGGGGAAACCCAGUGUGUUUCGACACACUAUCAUUAACUGAAUCCAUAGGUUAAUGAGGCGAACCGGGGGAACUGAAACAUCUAAGUACCCCGAGGAAAAGAAAUCAACCGAGAUUCCCCCAGUAGCGGCGAGCGAACGGGGAGCAGCCCAGAGCCUGAAUCAGUGUGUGUGUUAGUGGAAGCGUCUGGAAAGGCGCGCGAUACAGGGUGACAGCCCCGUACACAAAAAUGCACAUACUGUGAGCUCGAUGAGUAGGGCGGGACACGUGGUAUCCUGUCUGAAUAUGGGGGGACCAUCCUCCAAGGCUAAAUACUCCUGACUGACCGAUAGUGAACCAGUACCGUGAGGGAAAGGCGAAAAGAACCCCGGCGAGGGGAGUGAAAAAGAACCUGAAACCGUGUACGUACAAGCAGUGGGAGCCCUGAUUUAUCAGGGUGACUGCGUACCUUUUGUAUAAUGGGUCAGCGACUUAUAUUCUGUAGCAAGGUUAACCGAAUAGGGGAGCCGGAGGGAAACCGAGUCUUAACUGGGCGUUAAGUUGCAGGGUAUAGACCCGAAACCCGGUGAUCUAGCCAUGGGCAGGUUGAAGGUUGGGUAACACUAACUGGAGGACCGAACCGACUAAUGUUGAAAAAUUAGCGGAUGACUUGUGGCUGGGGGUGAAAGGCCAAUCAAACCGGGAGAUAGCUGGUUCUCCCCGAAAGCUAUUUAGGUAGCGCCUCGUGAAUUCAUCUCCGGGGGUAGAGCACUGUUUCGGCAAGGGGGUCAUCCCGACUUACCAACCCGAUGCAAACUGCGAAUACCGGAGAAUGUUAUCACGGGAGACACACGGCGGGUGCUAACGUCCGUCGUGAAGAGGGAAACAACCCAGACCGCCAGCUAAGGUCCCAAAGUCAUGGUUAAGUGGGAAACGAUGUGGGAAGGCCCAGACAGCCAGGAUGUUGGCUUAGAAGCAGCCAUCAUUUAAAGAAAGCGUAAUAGCUCACUGGUCGAGUCGGCCUGCGCGGAAGAUGUAACGGGGCUAAACCAUGCACCGAAGCUGCGGCAGCGACACUAUGUGUUGUUGGGUAGGGGAGCGUUCUGUAAGCCUGUGAAGGUGUGCUGUGAGGCAUGCUGGAGGUAUCAGAAGUGCGAAUGCUGACAUAAGUAACGAUAAAGCGGGUGAAAAGCCCGCUCGCCGGAAGACCAAGGGUUCCUGUCCAACGUUAAUCGGGGCAGGGUGAGUCGACCCCUAAGGCGAGGCCGAAAGGCGUAGUCGAUGGGAAACAGGUUAAUAUUCCUGUACUUGGUGUUACUGCGAAGGGGGGACGGAGAAGGCUAUGUUGGCCGGGCGACGGUUGUCCCGGUUUAAGCGUGUAGGCUGGUUUUCCAGGCAAAUCCGGAAAAUCAAGGCUGAGGCGUGAUGACGAGGCACUACGGUGCUGAAGCAACAAAUGCCCUGCUUCCAGGAAAAGCCUCUAAGCAUCAGGUAACAUCAAAUCGUACCCCAAACCGACACAGGUGGUCAGGUAGAGAAUACCAAGGCGCUUGAGAGAACUCGGGUGAAGGAACUAGGCAAAAUGGUGCCGUAACUUCGGGAGAAGGCACGCUGAUAUGUAGGUGAAGUCCCUCGCGGAUGGAGCUGAAAUCAGUCGAAGAUACCAGCUGGCUGCAACUGUUUAUUAAAAACACAGCACUGUGCAAACACGAAAGUGGACGUAUACGGUGUGACGCCUGCCCGGUGCCGGAAGGUUAAUUGAUGGGGUCAGCGCAAGCGAAGCUCUUGAUCGAAGCCCCGGUAAACGGCGGCCGUAACUAUAACGGUCCUAAGGUAGCGAAAUUCCUUGUCGGGUAAGUUCCGACCUGCACGAAUGGCGUAAUGAUGGCCAGGCUGUCUCCACCCGAGACUCAGUGAAAUUGAACUCGCUGUGAAGAUGCAGUGUACCCGCGGCAAGACGGAAAGACCCCGUGAACCUUUACUAUAGCUUGACACUGAACACUGGUCCUUGAUGUGUAGGAUAGGUGGGAGGCUUUGAAGUGUGGACGCCAGUCUGCAUGGAGCCGUCCUUGAAAUACCACCCUUUAAUGGCUGGUGUUCUAACGUUGGCCCCUUACCGGGGUUGCGGACAGUGUCUGGUGGGUAGUUUGACUGGGGCGGUCUCCUCCUAAAGAGUAACGGAGGAGCACGAAGGUUGGCUAAUCCUGGUCGGACAUCAGGAGGUUAGUGCAAUGGCAUAAGCCAGCUUGACUGCGAGCGUGACGGCGCGAGCAGGUGCGAAAGCAGGUCAUAGUGAUCCGGUGGUUCUGAAUGGAAGGGCCAUCGCUCAACGGAUAAAAGGUACUCCGGGGAUAACAGGCUGAUACCGCCCAAGAGUUCAUAUCGACGGCGGUGUUUGGCACCUCGAUGUCGGCUCAUCACAUCCUGGGGCUGAAGUAGGUCCCAAGGGUAUGGCUGUUCGCCAUUUAAAGUGGUACGCGAGCUGGGUUUAGAACGUCGUGAGACAGUUCGGUCCCUAUCUGCCGUGGGCGCUGGAGAACUGAGGGGGGCUGCUCCUAGUACGAGAGGACCGGAGUGGACGCAUCACUGGUGUUCGGGUUGUCAUGCCAAUGGCACUGCCCGGUAGCUAAAUGCGGAAGAGAUAAGUGCUGAAAGCAUCUAAGCACGAAACUUGCCCCGAGAUGAGUUCUCCCUGAGACCUGGAGUCUCCUGAAGGAACGUUGAAGACGACGACGUUGAUAGGCCGGAUGUGUAAGCGCAGCGAUGCGUUGAGCUAACCGGUACUAAUGAACCGUGAGGCUUAACCUU